Molecule: ribosomal RNA, 253 nt
Filed under: uncultured bacterium
Lineage: Bacteria
Description: partial 16S ribosomal RNA
Rfam family: Bacterial small subunit ribosomal RNA
Source: RNAcentral
UACGGGGGGGGCAAGCGUUGUUCGGAAUUACUGGGCGUAAAGGGCUCGUAGGCGGCCAACUAAGUCAGACGUGAAAUCCCUCGGCUUAACCGGGGAACUGCGUCUGAUACUGGAUGGCUUGAGUCUGGGAGAGGGAUGCGGAAUUCCAGGUGUAGCGGUGAAAUGCGUAGAUAUCUGGAGGAACACCGGUGGCGAAGGCGGCACCCUGGGCCGGCACUGACGCUGAUGAGCGAAAGCCAGGGGAGCAAACAGG